AGCUGAGUUUGAUCCUGGCUCAGAUUGAACGCUGGCGGCAUGCCUUACGCAUGCAAGUCGAACGGUAACAGGUUAAGCUGACGAGUGGCGAACGGGUGAGUAAUACAUCGGAACGUGCCCGAUCGUGGGGGAUAACGGAGCGAAAGCUUUGCUAAUACCGCAUAAGAUCUACGGAUGAAAGCAGGGGACCGCAAGGCCUUGCGCGAACGGAGCGGCUGAUGGCG
RNAcentral lists this ribosomal RNA (224 nucleotides) under uncultured Acidovorax sp. RNAcentral's name for it is "partial 16S ribosomal RNA". It matches the Rfam family "Bacterial small subunit ribosomal RNA", at positions 1 to 238 of the family's 1533-position model. The record is from RNAcentral. Lineage: Bacteria; Pseudomonadati; Pseudomonadota; Betaproteobacteria; Burkholderiales; Comamonadaceae.